Molecule: long non-coding RNA, 2098 nt
Organism: Cucumis melo (muskmelon)
Lineage: Eukaryota; Viridiplantae; Streptophyta; Magnoliopsida; Cucurbitales; Cucurbitaceae
Exons: 5
Source: RefSeq, a predicted model, not a curated record
CAUGUCUCUAUUUGAUUUUCGUCUUUACUUAUUCUAUUCGUUAUGGGGAGAAGUGGUUGGAGGAUAGUGUUUAGUAUUAGUGUAGGGGAUUAACCUUCACAUGAUAGUUUUGUUUGUUUAGCUUUUGUUGUUCCUGGCAUUAAAUUUGAGCAUAGAGUUAAUGAAGUGUUGACGGCAUAUAUCCUUGAAUGAAUAUGAUGAUAGUGUGUUGGUUAUACUUGAGAAUCAUGUUCAAUUAGAAUAUAGUUUAGUAUGUAAUUAGUUUGAUCACUCAAGUUAGGACAUUCCUAAUGUGGAAGGUCGGAUAUUAAGUGUUUGAAUUUUCUUUUUGAAUGAACGGAAAAGAAUCACAAAAAGCCCCUGUGAAAGUUCGGGCAUGAUUGUUAGUGAUUUUGGAGUGGUCGAACUCACUUUUGUGUCACAUUUAAAAUCACUCUUAAAUAUAACGUUCAUCCAAGAUCAGUUGUAGUGGCCAAAAGGAGUAUGACUUGCUUGUACCAUCAAUCUCAAAAAUAGGAGGGUUGGCUUUUGGCCUUUUCGUGUAGCUUAGGUGGAUGACGAAGAAGGCCGGCCCUUUGUUGGAGGGUGUACAGUCCUUUUAAAAGAAGAGAAAAGUGAUCACUCUUUUCUUUGAAUUCUAAGGUCUAAUCAUCAUGAGUGAAGUAUCAGAAUGUUUCAAGGGAGUCUAGGAAUCCACCCAUCUUGGUUAAUGAAGGAUUCCACAGAGAAGCGUCUUAGUUGCGAGGCAUCAAGUGUCUUUGCCCAUGGAACUCUCAUGGAAGUGGAAGCUCCUGGUCCGUUCCAGGCGUCCCAUCCCUCUGGUGCUACCACUGGACCCAUUAUAGCAUCUUUGAAUAUAACUCUGGAAAAAGGACCAUAUGCUCUCCCCAACAAAGCUUUGCCACUACCCGUUAUGGUGCACCCUUUAAAUACAAAUCCACUUGGAUCUGCUGCUGAUCUUCGACCUUGUGCAGUAAUGAAUCCUUGGUGGACUUGAGGGAGACUUGCAACAUUAACAUUUAUCAAGCAAUCCUACAUUGUCAAAAGAACAUGUUUUUAUGGUCCCAAGUUGCCGUAAAAGUCUCUUCCAAUGGUGUAAAUAACAGAAACAUUGACAUUUGAACUGAGUACCUUAUAAACUGAUUGGCCACUACCAAAGAUGAAGUCUAUGGCUCCUUCAAUGUAGCAAUUUUGGAAGAAAUGGCGACCUUGCACAUCCCAUAACGUGUCUUGAUACCCUUUGAAUCCACAGUUAAAAAAUGCCGAUUUGUCGCCAUAGAUUCUUGCUGCUAUUGCUUGUGUAAUGUAAGUUCCAUCAUCGCAAACAAACAGCUCUGGAGCUUCUUCAAGGUUGAAGGAGUUCUGUGUGCAUCACAAUAACACAUAAUCAAACAUCUUGAUUUACCAUACAAAAGCAACAAUUCUAUAACAAGACAGAUAUUGAGAGUUAUAGAAUCCUGCUCAAACCCCUCUCAGGUGCGUACGCCAUACGAUAUAUAUCAUUAACUAUGAACUUAACUUGGGCUUCAAAAUCUCAAAUGAUGCUAUGAAUAUAAAUUCAGUUUUUAGAAGCCACAGCACCUCAAAAGUAAUGCCUCUAGCAAUAAUGUUAGGAGGACGUGAAGUAAAUGUAGCACUAGUGUCCGUUUGUUGAUGGUCAUCGAAUGUGAUGAUCGUAUUGCUGCGGUCAGCUCCUUCGAGAUAUAUGAAAGGUUUUUCUGGUGGGAUUGUCACCUUUUCUCUGCAAAAGGUGGAACUGAGUCAAUGGCUGCUUGAACGGUCUGGAAAUCGCCUCUUCCCGACUUGUCAACAACAACAACGGAUUGAACUGUAAGGUCAAAGGCUCUUGCAUGAUUCACAGCUUCAAAACCAAAGACAACAGCAUUAAACAGAGUGAAGAGCAAGAGAAAUGGAGGUUGUAGCUGCAUUUUUUACAAUUUUUUUUUUUUUUUUUUGGAUUUAGAUGCCAGUUAGAAAGUAUAAGUCGUUUAUCAUCAGAAUAGUUGUAAAAACUGAAGAGUUAUUAGGCCUUGUAUUCAUACAUAUACAUAGAAAGAAAGAGAUAUUAAUUCAUAAAUGCAAAUUAUUUUGGGAAUCA